GGAUGUGAGGGCUAUCUGGCUGCGGCAUCUGUCACCCCAUUGAUUACCAAGGCUGAUUCAUCUGAUCUGGCUGGCUAGGCGGGUGUCCCCUUCCUCCCUCAUCGCUCCAUGUGCGUCCCUCCUGAAGCUGCUUGGUCUGUUGAAGAGGACGGCCUUUCCCAAUUGAGACUGGGCCUCCUUUCUUUCCU
This 188-nucleotide small nuclear RNA is filed under the name Erinaceus europaeus (western European hedgehog). RNAcentral describes it as "7SK RNA". It matches the Rfam family "7SK RNA", at positions 1 to 187 of the family's 331-position model. Rfam says of the family: 7SK was discovered as an abundant small nuclear RNA in the mid-70s but a possible function has only recently been suggested. The record is from Rfam by way of RNAcentral. Lineage: Eukaryota; Metazoa; Chordata; Mammalia; Eulipotyphla; Erinaceidae.